ACGAUGCGCGCAGCCUGAUCAGCAUGCCGCGUGUGUGAAGAAGGCCUUCGGGUUGUAAAGCACUUUUGUCCGGAAAGAAAUGGCACUUACUAAUAUUAGGUGUGGAUGACGGUACCGGAAGAAUAAGGACCGGCUAACUACGUGCCAGCAGCCGCGGUAAUACGUAGGGUCCAAGCGUUAAUCGGAAUUACUGGGCGUAAAGCGUGCGCAGGCGGUUGUGCAAGACCGAUGUGAAAUCCCCGGGCUUAACCUGGGAAUUGCAUUGGUGACUGCACGGCUAGAGUGUGUCAGAGGGGGGUAGAAUUCCACGUGUAGCAGUGAAAUGCGUAGAGAUGUGGAGGAAUACCGAUGGCGAAGGCAGCCCCCUGGGAUAACACUGACGCUCAUGCACGAAAGCGUGGGGAGCAAACAGGAUUAGAUACCCUGGUAGUCCACGCCCUAAACGAUGUCAACUAGUUGUUGGGGAUUCAUUUCCUUAGUAACGUAGCUAACGCGUGAAGUUGACCGCCUGGGGAGUACGGUCGCAAGAUUAAAACUCAAAGAAAUUUUGACGGA
Molecule: ribosomal RNA, 555 nt
Filed under: uncultured bacterium
Lineage: Bacteria
Description: bacterial SSU rRNA
Rfam family: Bacterial small subunit ribosomal RNA
Source: RNAcentral